GGGAAUACCAGGGGUGGGCACUGUCAAGAGACCCAGCUUUGACUUCAAAUGCCACCCAGAGGGACAACUGCUCACUUUCAGAGCAGGAGCAGGAGGCCAGAGGAGAGUGUGAGUCUAACAUCUGCACAGUGAGAAGUCCAGGAGAAGCAAAAAUGAGAUCCAGGCUGGAGCGGCUGUGCCAGAGUGCUGGUAACAAUAAUAGAGAACCAUCCAUAUCCACAAGAGGCAGAACCUCUUCCAGCAAAAUGGUGCUGCCUCACCCAAAGCUGGUUGAGGCUUUAUUCAAUUCAAAUUCAAGCUGUUAAAUCGAGGCUCUCAGACUCCUGCUGCCUGGCCAGUGGAGAAAUUAACUUUCACAUAUGGCUUUGGGAUUUCUCUCUGUCAUCCUGGUCGACGUGUUCUCUCAUUUUUCUGAAGUCUGGGACCUCAACACAGACAUCUGGGUGAAGGCCUUGACAGCAGCGCUGGUGCAAAAUGAAUUGUCACAUCACACCCAACGUUCUCAACCUUUAGAAUCUGAAAGUAAGAAAAACACCUCAAACAUUGAUUCUGAGUAAUCAGCACAGAUUUCUAAAAGAAACUUUAUGGGAUGCUGAGACAUGAAUAAAAACAACUUUAUUCCUUUGGAAAGGACAACCCACAUGCUAAGAAGAUGACACUACACGUUGUUAUAGCCCGAAAGGCCCUCUUUCCACAGGGGAGCAGUGAAAAGUAGAGGUUGCCCAUGUGGAUUCCCAAGUCAGAUAGAUGUGGAUUCAGAUCCCAGCUCUGCUGCUUGCUACCCAAGAGACCAUGGACUGUGGACUCUUUAGGUCUCAGGGUUUUUGUUUGUUGUCUGUUUUUCACUUCCAAAACCAGAAAAUGAGAAGAUAUUUUCCAUAAGAUGGCGGUGGAGAAGAGAACUUGAUGGACCUUGCUUGGACAAAAUGCCUUCACCGCUAACUCAGUCAGCUAUGGCGAUGGGUCAAGGACCUGGUGGUUUUACAGAGAAGACCCUUGGUCAAAUCUUUGUGAAUGAAGCAACCAUUCUGAUGUUCAAUAACAGGAAUGCACCAGUUUAUACCAAACUAUCUGUACUAUUGAGAACAGCAAAAAUAUCUGACCAAAAACACCAAAGAGUGACAUUUUAAAAGACAUCAAAGAACUCUCAAGGCUUCCAGAGUUGGAAAGAUCAAGAAAGAGAGAAUGCAACUUCAUUAAGACACAAAAAGGAACAGGAUACAGAAGUGGAGGCAGUUCAGCGAAAAAGAUGAGAAGAAGGAGAAUGUCCACAAAUAAAUUUCACUUAUAAAAGUUCAGAUAAAAA
RNAcentral lists this long non-coding RNA (1306 nucleotides) under Homo sapiens (human). RNAcentral describes it as "long intergenic non-protein coding RNA 2347". Lineage: Eukaryota; Metazoa; Chordata; Mammalia; Primates; Hominidae. The record is from RNAcentral.